RNAcentral lists this ribosomal RNA (923 nucleotides) under uncultured bacterium. RNAcentral describes it as "bacterial SSU rRNA". It matches the Rfam family "Bacterial small subunit ribosomal RNA", at positions 338 to 1284 of the family's 1533-position model. The record is from RNAcentral.
CCUACGGGGGGCAGCAGUGGGGAAUAUUGCACAAUGGGCGAAAGCCUGAUGCAGCAACGCCGCGUGAGCGAUGAAGGCCUUUGGGUCGUAAAGCUCUGUCCUUGGGGAAGAAAAAAAUGACGGUACCCAAGGAGGAAGCCCCGGCUAACUACGUGCCAGCAGCCGCGGUAAUACGUAGGGGGCAAGCGUUAUCCGGAAUUAUUGGGCGUAAAGAGUACGUAGGUGGUCUUUUAAGCGCAGGGUUUAAGGCAAUGGCUUAACUAUUGUUCGCCCUGUGAACUGGGAGACUUGAGUGUAGGAGAGGAAAGUGGAAUUCCUAGUGUAGCGGUGAAAUGCGUAGAUAUUAGGAGGAACAUCAGUGGCGAAGGCGACUUUCUGGACUAUUACUGACACUGAGGUACGAAAGCGUGGGGAGCAAACAGGAUUAGAUACCCUGGUAGUCCACGCCGUAAACGAUGAGCACUAGGUGUCGGGGUCGCAAGAUUUCGGUGCCGUAGUUAACGCAUUAAGUGCUCCGCCUGGGGAGUACGUUCGCAAGAAUGAAACUCAAAGGAAUUGACGGGGACCCGCACAAGCAGCGGAGCAUGUGGUUUAAUUCGAAGCAACGCGAAGAACCUUACCAGGACUUGACAUCCUUCUGACAGGACCUUAACCGGUCCCUCCUUCGGGCAGAAGAGACAGGUGGUGCAUGGUUGUCGUCAGCUCGUGUCGUGAGAUGUUGGGUUGAGUCCCGCAACGAGCGCAACCCUUGUCAUUAGUUGCCAUCAUUUAGUUGGGCACUCUAAUGAGACUGCCGGGGAUAACUCGGAGGAAGGUGGGGAUGACGUCAAAUCAUCAUGCCCCUUAUGUCCUGGGCUACACACGUGCUACAAUGGCUGGUACAAAGAGACGCAGACCGCGAGGUGGAGCAAAUCUUCAAACCA